RNAcentral lists this transfer RNA (75 nucleotides) under Pantoea sp. BRM17. Its description in RNAcentral is "tRNA-Gly". It matches the Rfam family "tRNA". From Rfam's summary of the family: Transfer RNA (tRNA) molecules are approximately 80 nucleotides in length. Their secondary structure includes four short double-helical elements and three loops (D, anti-codon, and T loops). Further hydrogen bonds mediate the characteristic L-shaped molecular structure. tRNAs have two regions of fundamental functional importance: the anti-codon, which is responsible for specific mRNA codon recognition, and the 3' end, to which the tRNAs corresponding amino acid is attached (by aminoacyl-tRNA synthetases). tRNAs cope with the degeneracy of the genetic code in two manners: having more than one tRNA (with a specific anti-codon) for a particular amino acid; and 'wobble' base-pairing, i.e. permitting non-standard base-pairing at the 3rd anti-codon position. The record is from RNAcentral. RNAcentral also lists the same sequence under 1 other name. Lineage: Bacteria; Pseudomonadati; Pseudomonadota; Gammaproteobacteria; Enterobacterales; Erwiniaceae.
UCGGGCAUCGUAUAAUGGCUAUUACCUCAGCCUUCCAAGCUGAUGAUGCGGGUUCGAUUCCCGCUGCCCGCUCCA